AUCUUGAGGGUUGCUGUAGUUAACAUAACCAUAACCAAGUGACCUCCUAGUGGUCAAAUCCCUGCAAACCCUAACAGACACAACCUGACCCAAUUGGUUGAAAAGGUCAUAAAGCUGAGAAUCCGUAACAUUGACAUCAAGAUCUCCAACGUAAAGCGAAGUCGUCACAAACUGAUUCCCACCAGCCGCUGCUGCAGCCGCUGAUUGAAAAGGUCAUAAAGCUGAGAAUCCGUAACAUUGACAUCAAGAUCUCCAACGUAAAGCGAAGUCGUCACAAACUGAUUCCCACCAGCCGCUGCUGCAGCCGCUGCUGCCGCCGCAGCAGCACCGCCGUUCGGGCCCGACAUCGCAUUCUGAGGCUGAACCUGAACCUGAGCCAUCUCAAUUCCUCAGCAAAAACGAUCAAAUUUAGGUUUUUUUUUCAAAAAUUUCCUAAUUUCCCCCGAAAUUUUUUCUUUUUUUUUUCUCUUCCCCCUCCUCUUGUUAUUGAUAACAAUAAAACCUAGGAAGAACAGAAAAAACUAGCGAUAAAUUGAUGGAACAAAAGCAUAUAAUUUUUUUGAUUUUGAUUUGGGGAAAACGAGGAGAGGGAAGCGAAGGGAAAAGAAUACGGAAAAAGAUAGGAAAUAAAAUAAAAAUAAAUAAAAGAGAGAAAAAUUGAAGAUGACGGAAGAGGUAGCAGAGCAAGAGCACUGCGGUGUGGAAAGAAGUAAAAACGGUGAAGCGAGAAAGUAUAAAAGAGACGGCGAGUGAGGGUAAACCCUAGCACAAUCCAACGAGGAGAUCUGGGCCGUUGAAUGGGAAAGGGUGUGGGGUCAGGAUGGAUAUGGUAGAUAAGGAUUGGGAAUUUUGGGGAAGGAGGAGAAAGGUAAAUAGGUUGAUGAGAGAGUGAAAAUAAUGAAGUAGGGUAAGUAACCGGUAAAAAUAAUGAAAAAUUCCAGUUAAAGUAGAGCUGUUUGUUUUGUAUUUUAUUUUAUUUUUGACAAUUAAUUAAUUCAUUAUCAAAAAUAAAAUAUGCAAAAAUAUAUAUAUGGUCUCACAUGAAUUCAAAUUCAAAGCCUUACAAUUAUGAUUAUACAGAAUAUUAUUUUUUAUUUAUUAAUUUAAUGGCUGAAAUUUUACCUCUUAAAAUUAAAGUAAGAAAUAUAUUGGUAAAAAUAAUUAUCAUUUCAACAAAUAUUUAAACACUUGAUUUCAUUACUAAUUUAAAAAAAUAAACAAAAUCAAUCAUAAAUAUUACUUUAAGAGUAACUCUAUAUAAAACUAUUUUGUUAAAUAAUUUAAUAUAAUUAGAAACUACUGGUGUAAAGUUAUAUGUAGAUCCAAUCAAAUCAAAUAAAAGUGUUUCUACAAUAUCUUUUCAAAUAUUUACUUUAUGAGAUUUUAUAGAUGGGUGUAGCUCUCUUCUAAAUAUUAAAUUCUAUUAAUUAAAUUAUUGAAUUAAAAUUAUCUUUUUUAUUUAAAUUAAAAUUUAUAUGGGAUAUAUUUUUGUAAUUUCAAAACUAUUUGAUACUUUAUCUUAGAAUUUGAUGCAUACAUGACCUUUUUGUGAAAAAAAUCGAUUAUUUUAUUAGAUUGAAGACUCAAUUUAAUUUCUCAUUAAAAUUAUAAAAUUCAAUUUAAUCCGUGAAAAAAGUUAUACUUAAUCCUUUACAAUCUCUUGUUAAUAUAUUUUUUUAAAAUUUUUUUUUCUUUUGAACUAUUUCUGUCAUAUGUAUUAUUUAUGACACAUGCGAUUUUUAAUAAUUAUGUAUUUAUAUAUUUUUUGUUUUUAAGAAUUGUUUGAUAUUAUUACAUAUCAUAAAAAUUAUAUGUCACUAAUGUAUAUUGACAUACAGUAAAAUAAAGACAUAAAUUUUUUGGGUUCAAUUCCUUUUAAGAAAAAAGUUUUUUUUUAUAUUUUAAAAUUUGAAUUGUUUAAAAAUAAAAUAAAGAAUAAAGAAUAAAAAAUAAAAAUAAAUUUAGUAUUUAAAAUUGAAAAAUAAAUAAUAAGUCCAACGUGACCGCUCAUGUAAUUAUAAAAUGCAUGUGGCAUAAAUAAUACACAUGACAAUUCAGUCACGUUUAAAAAUAGAGAAAAAAAUGGAUUGAAAAAUUAAAUAAUCUAUUUUAUCGAGAAUUAAUGUGAGUUAUGUAGUUUUUGUGAGGGAAAUGGGUCUUCACUCAAUUUAUUAUAUAUCUAUAAUCGUCAAAUUUAAAAUAAUAUGUAAAGUUCUUCUAUGCAAUAAAAAAAUUGGUUUAAUUUAAUUUUUGGUGAUUUAACUUAAUUAAGUUUUCAAUUGAUUCUCUUAUUUAAUUAAUAUUAUUUUUUAUUUUCUAAAAAAUUAUUUUAUCAAUCAAUUUAGUUUAUUUUACUAACAUUUAAAUUUAAAUAUUUUAGGUGGGAUAAAAUUGUAAGAUGUCUAUUAUAAACUUUAUUAUUUUUUAAUUUUAACUUAUUGAUCUUUUUAAAGAAUUUUAUAUUUUUGAAUUUUGACGGUCUAUUAAUUAUAACGAUACGCCAUCAAAAGGUAAUAUUUGUAUAUAUUUAUUUAAUGUACCAUUAUAAUUAAUAGACCUUCAAGAUUCAAAUAUGUGAAAUUAUUUAAAAAGAUCAUGGGAUUAAAAUAAAUAGUAACAAUAACAAUGUUUUAAAAAUUGGAUCAAACCGGUCGGUUCAAUCGAUUGGACUGGAAAUCGGAGAUAAUUCUGGUUGGAUCAACCUUUUAAAAUCGCUAAUGGAUCAAAAUCGAAGUAAACCGGAAAAAUUGAAUUGAACCGUCCAAAAUCAUUCUAACCAAAGAACCGGAGCUGGUUUUGUAAAACCGUCUGAUUCAAAAAAAAUGUAUCAAAUUGACCAUUUUUAAAAUUUUCUUAAAAAAUUUAAUAUUUUAAUAUGAAAACUUAACCUACAUUCUCAUUCAAAAAAAAUAUGUAUUUUUUUACGAUCAUACGAACUUCAAAGUUUUGUCACUCAAUUAUAGUUUUUCUUUCAACCACAUUUCAUUAUCACACGCCGUCUGGUUCAAACAUAAUCACGAUAUUCAACUCAAUAUUGAUUAUUACUCUUAAACAAAAAAAAUAUAUUCAAUAAUCAAACAUAAUUUUUUUGUCUAGAAGUAAAACACAAUUGAAUGUAAAGUAUAAUAGUAAUAAUCUUGAAGAUUUUGUCAAUGAUACAAUAUUAAAAAUAUAAAUAUACAUUUGAAAAGUGCAUUGUCGGUGUAAGGAAGUAUUACACUGACAUCCGAUCAAAAUAUUUUAUAUUGUCAAAUCAUAACAGUAUUUUAAAAAUAAAAGUGUGAUGUGGCGGGAUAUACGAAUCUCAUUGAUUGACACUGUAAAAAUAUUUUUUACUGUCUGUGCAUAUUCCUUUUUUUCUUUUAAAAAAAUAUGAGAGCAACAAAGACUUUAGACAUUUUAUAAAAAUAUAAAUAUAUAUUUGAAAAAAAAUAUGUAAUUUGAUAAUAUAUAAAGGGAAUAAUAUCUCUUUUGCCCCUAUCAUAUUUGUGAUAUUUAAAAAACUUAAUAGAAAAAAUGAAUUUUCUUUCUCCUUUAAGAACGAAGAUUCCUCUAUUUUGAUCCUCAUUAUAUUUAGUCAUAAAAAAAUAUAUGAUAGGUAAUUUUUUUUAAUUACUGGAUUGUCAAUUUGAUUUUUUUUCUCUAAGUUCUUAUUUUUUUUAAAUCCAUGUGACAUUUUUUUAUUAUUUUAAGUAUGAAGAUUUUAAAAGCUUCAAACACCAAAAUUUAAAAACCAAAGGAGUGAUGAAUCCAGGACCACAGACCGAAUGAAGAGGCACCAUUACCAUUGGAUCAUGCUGCCAACUUUAUUUUUUAUCCCACCAAAUAUACUUAUUAAAUACUUUAUUCUCAAGAUUAGAAUAAAUAUAUUUCAAAUAUUUUGAUUACAUAUUUAAAUAUACUUAUAUAUAGUUUAUUAAAUAUGAAAUUUAUAUAAUAAUAUUAAAUAUAAAAUAUAUUUUUUAAUUAAUAUUAUUAAGUAUGCAAUAUAUUAUAUAGUUAAUUAGUAUUAUUAAAUAUGAAAUUUAUAUAAUAAAUUAAUAUUAUUUUAUAUGAAAUAUGUUUUUAAAUUAAUGUUAUUAAAUAUAAAAUAUAUUUAUAGAAUAAAAUAAUAUUGUUAAAUAUGAAAUAUAUUUAUAUAAUAAUUAAUACUAUUAACAAUGAAAUAUAUUUUUAAACUAAUAUUAUUAAAUAUUAAAUAUGUUUAUAUAAUAGAUGAAUAUUAUUAAAUAAAAAAUUUAUAUAAUAAAUUAAUAUUACUGGAUAUGAAAUAUAUUUUUAAAUUAAUGUUUUUAAAUAUUAAAUAUUUUUAUAUAUUAAAUUAAUACAUUUAAUAUGAAAUAUACUUAUAUAAUAAACUAAUAUUGUUAAAUAUGGAAUAUAUUUAUAUAAUAUAUUAAUAUUAUUAAAUAUGAAAUAUAUUUAUAUAAUAAAUUAAUAUUAUUAAAUAUGAAAUAUAUUUAUAGAAUAUUAUUAUUAAAUAUUUAAUAAUAUUGAUCUCACCUGAUCAGGAGGGCCUUCCAAGGUCUUGGUGAAUGGGCCGGAGAAUGAAAUGAGAGGGGGGUGUACCUGCAAGGUGCUCCAACGCUUAAGUCAGAAAAGGUACAGAAUGAGAUUAUCAGAGUGUGAGUUAGAAUACCUGCCCCUUUGCCAUGAAAGGGGUAUUUAUAUUGAGCCCCCAGCGCUGGGCCAAGGCUCCUAAUGGGCUGGAUUAGCUAGGCCCAAGGAGGAGCUGCCAGGGGACGCGUAAGAAGCGUUAAGACCUAGACCAAGGUCUGCCCCCUGGUCCAACUGCCCCUAUCCCUAAGGAGACAAUAUAGGGGAGUUGGGUGACGUGGUGAGUGAGAUGCCGUUAUGGCUCUGCCCGACACAACUUAGGUGUCCGCGACGUGGGUUGACGAUGAGUGGAUGGAGAUCAUAUGAGGAGGACCCGCUCGUUGUCCGACACGUAUUUAAGGGGCCGGGGAGACAUUCUCCGGGCGGACGGUCGUUCACCUGACGUGUCCUCGUGGUCGCUUGGAUACGGUCGUUUGGACGUGGGCUUGGCGAGCAUUGGGCCGUGCCGUGCUAAGUGUCGUGGCCCAGUCCAGAACAGGAGCCCCCCAAGUCGAGUCUCUGAGCCAGAGAGAUGACUUAUGUUUCAACUAAGGGUUCCCCGAGACGAUGGGGAAGCUUGAUCGUUAGACAGGUGAGGUCGUAACAGACCUAUUCAUGACUGACAUUUCUCCGGGAAUGUCGGGGAUGGAGGUGAUCGGUUGAUCUGCACCUUCCUUGUAGUAAACGUGGGUAUGGCGCGGGGAGGAGGCGUCUUGGUGAGUCGAGGAGACGGACAGGUGCUCGGGUCGUUUCAGCUUCUUGUCUUUGAUAGACGUGUCUCACGAUUAGUGGCGUCGCUUCGUUUCGCGCGCAAAGACGGCGUAGGCAGGCUAGGCAAUGAUGACCUAGCGUGUUGGUCCACGUGCCAAGCCCUAUAAAAAGGGGUUGAGUAACUUCAUUUCUACCUUUUUUUCUCGCUCAUACGUUCACCGGAGAUCUCCACCUUCUCUCUCGUUUGCUCGCUCAACCGUCUGGACCGCCGUCUCCGCCCGUCCUCCUAUCUGAACCACCGUCUUCUGCUCGGACACCACCGUACCCUUUCAACUUAACUAUGUCAGGUAUGAUUUUCCACUGUGACCCAUUCUUUUUCCUUGUUGUUUUCUGUCAAACGCAUGAUAAUGUUGUAGAAAUGUGGUUAGGUUUAACUUGGGAACAGUGUAGUGGACUGUAGGUGUAUAUUAGAUGGUAGAAAAUAGGGUUGGGAUCCUACUGUACCGGGCAUAAACUUCAUAUGCUGGGCAAUACUUGCAUAGGCUGUAUGAAGUUUAUGCCCGGUCUCCAUAGAAUGCGCGCGCCACCGAGUUGAGCGCGGUUAGUGUCCGUCGCCGCUACGCCCUUUCACUUGACCUGCGGUGGAAGGGUGGAUUUGAUAUGACGUCGAAUUCACUCUUUCUGUCUGCGUUUCAGGUGCUACCGGGCGCUUACGACCGAGGAAGGAAGAUUCUGGGUCCUCCACCGAAGACGCGACAAUCGCUCGUCUCCCUGUCGGGGAUGGGAGUGUCCGAGAUGGUACCGAACACGCCUCCUCUUCCGGGCAGGUCGACUUCUCAUGGGUUGCGGACGAGCCCUUGGAGGAGGAAUCAGACUUCUGUGACGAGGCCAUCACUGCUCACGCUAUGGUCGAGGCCAUAAGCCGGGAGGAUCCACCAAACUGGUAUUGCUGCGCCCCCAAGGAAGAAGACCGCAUUUGUCAUCAUUUCCCGGGGAAGCAGUUCACCAUGUAUGAAUUUGCUUUUCGUGAGGCGGGGAUUAGACUGCCCUUCAACUCCUUCCAGAUGUCGGUCUUCAAGUGGCUCCGGCUGGCGCCGUCCCAACUACAUCCUAAUGCUCUCGCAUUUAUGCGGGCAUUCGAGUUAGUUUGCCAGUUCCUCGGCAUUGGUUGCACCCGGGCUCUCUUCUUCCACGUUUUCCAUCUCCAGAGGUCCGGUUCCCGUGGUCGCCACAGUUGGGUUUCUUUCAAGCAGCCCGUGCGUCUGUUCAAGACGUACGAGGAUUCUGUUCGCCAUUUCAAAAGCCGGUGGUACGUGGUGAUGCCGAUUACCCGGGCUGCCCUUCACUCUCUCUACUACUAUCAACGGGAACCCAACGGGGAGGAGACGCUGAUGUCGAAGAUACCGCUGAGGUGGCAGCGUGAUCAUUUCGAUCUCUCCACGGCGCAUUACCGGGUCAAGUACGCGAUGCUCGGCGAGGAGGAUAGGCUCGCGUACAAGAAGCUGGUCGAUUACGUGCAGAGCUUCAGCUUGGCGUUCUGGGCGAAUCGACAGGGCGUGCCCUACCUGGAUGAGGCCGGGGAGCUAAUCACCGAGACGCGUUAUAUCAAUACGAAGGCUCUGCUCGAGUGUGAUACCGAGGAGGAAGCUCUGGCGUUAUUGAGUAGGCAGACUUUGUUUAGCUUUUUAUUUCUGUUUAUGACUUCGGUCGCUAAUGUUUGUGUGUAAUUUAUUUGCAGGUGCCAUGCCCAAUGCUCGUGAUCGGGUGCUGAAGCUAGCGAAUCAGGUCGGCGCUCCUGACCGGGUGCCCAAGAAGAAGAAGAAAACUGCGGCCCGUGUCUCGGAGACUGCUGGCGAUGCCGGGGUCGGUCCCUCGCAGGCGGCGAGCGUGAUUCCUUCCUCUCCUCCUCGGUCUAACCCGAUCAACAUUCCUGAUAGCAGUCCGUCGCCAGCGGCUUCUCCCCUCCAUAAACGGAAGCGUCCGGCUGGGGCCCUUACCAGGUCGUCUCCAGGAAGUUCGCAUGGACCGGGCAGCUAUCUUCUGCCUCCCUGCUAUGUGGAACGGUCGUUCUUCAAGGCCGAGGAGUCGAUUGCUGUGCCUGCGCCUGAGGCCAAGGCUAUUCUGGACCAGGAUGUUGCUGCCCGGAGGAAAGAUCUGGCCAGGGAUAUUGCUGCCGUCAUCCGGGUGAUGGAGACGGCCAUGGUUCUGACCGACACUUCGGUCUCCACCGCCUCGCUGGAGGAAGCCCUUUUGCAGGUUCGGACAGAGAAGGAAAGACUAUCUCAAGAUCUGUCGGACUACAAAGAAGAGCAUCAGCUGCAGGAAGGGCUGCGCCAGAAGCUGGAGGAGGUGGAAAGGGAGAGGGACCAGUUGAAGGCUGCUAAGGCGAGCCUGGAAGAGCAGGUGGUCGACCAUCAGAAGCUGACCGAGGACAACGCCUACCUACGGGCUCAGGUUGAGUCUCUCGAGGGAAAGGUCCGUCCUCUGGCAGAUGAGACCGAGGAGGAACGCGCCCUUGGUUCGCGCGGUGAGCUGCUAGGGCAUAUUCGGACUCUCAACCAAGAUCUUGUGGCCUGCUUCAAAGAGGGUUUCGACAAUGCUGUCGAGCAGCUCGGGCUUCUGAACCCUGAGUUGGUGACGGAAGGGUCGGCCUAUAACUGCUGCGUCCGGGAUGGUGAGAUCAUCUGCCCGUUUGAAGUGGAGGAGGAGCUGGGGGGAGAAGAAGAAGAAGAGGAUGAAGAGGAGCUCCGAGCGGAGUCUUAGUUUAUAUGUUUUUCUUAUCAUGGCCUGCGUGCCUUAUGUAUUUUGGCCUUCGGGCGUUGUAAUAUGGCCUUCGGGCGUACUUGGCUUCGGCCGCUUUUAUCGUUUCUAAUGUAUGAAUAUUUUUGUUACCAUUCAUUGUGCUCGUUUGUGUUUGAUACUUGUUUGCAUGAAUUCGUACUCUGCUCGACUUUGUUAAUCUCCUCGGUUUAGGGAACCGACGAAGUGUCGGGCUUUGUGCCCGUGGGUAUCGAAGCCCGGGUCCGUUGUUCGAACCCUGGUCCCGAGGCUUGGGUCCUCCCAUCGCGAGCUGGGUGCCCUGCCAGUCUUGGUACUUCGACGUUGAGCCUUGGUCAAGAUCCCAACCGUCGGGGAGGGUUGUGUUUGUUAUGUGACCCCGGAUCGUUCCCGGGUCUCGUGGUUCCUCCCUGGGGUUUUGGGGACGAAGAGCGUGGUCGUACCUGCCACGUCUCCCCGUGGUGUAUUUAGCUGUAAUAUUGUCUAAGUUUUUCUGCGUUCCAUGGUCGAGCGAGUUGUUCUCCUUGUAGGUUUUCUAGGUAAUAGGCCCCGUUGCUCGUUUUGUCGCGGACGCGGUAAGGGCCUUCCCAGUUGGCCGCCAGUUUGCCCUCUCUCGGGUUUUUCUGGUUUCUUCUGAGGACCAGGGUGCCGACCUGGAACUCUCUUUUUAUGACUUUCGCGUCAUGGCGUAGUGCUAUCUUUUGUUUGAGGGUUGUUUCCCGGAGAGCUGCUUCGGAACGUAUCUCCUCGACUAGGUCGAGCUCGGCUCUAAGGGUUUCAUCGUUCAUUUCCUCGUCUAGGGGCUCCUCUGUCCUCCUCGUUGGCGUCCGUAUCUCCACCGGGAUGACUGCCUCGGUGCCGUAAGUUAGUCGGAACGGGGUUUCCCCGGUGGUAGAAUGUGGUGUCGUGCGGUAGGCCCAUAGGACGCUAUGUAGCUCCUCGACCCAUGCCCUCUUUGCCUCGCCGAGUCUGCGUUUGAGGCCACGUAAGAUUACCCUGUUGGCCGCCUCUGCCUGCCCGUUCGUCUGCGGAUGCUCGACAGACGUGAAAUGCUGUGUGGUGCCCAGGCUGGCGAUGAAGUCCUGGAAUCCUCCGUCCGUGAAUUGUGUCCCGUUGUCUGUGACAAGUGCCUGGGGUAUACCGAACCGAGCGAGGAUGUUGCGUUUGAAGAACCGGAGAAUGUUCUGCGCGGUUAUUUUAGCCAGUGCCUCCGCCUCGAUCCAUUUGGUGAAGUAAUCCACCCCGACGAUGAGGUAUUUAUUCUGAUAUGAUCCGGUGACGAAGGGUCCGAGGAUGUCCAUGCCCCACCACGCGAAGGGCCAUGGGGAAGACAGUGAUUUGAGGUCGUUCGGGGGUGCGAGGUGCAUGUCGGCAUGUCGUUGGCAUUUGUCACAUCUUUUGACGUGCUCUUUCGAAUCGUUUUGCAUGGUCGGCCAGUAGUAGCCUGCUCGAAGGGCUUUUCGUGCGAGCGAUCGUCCGCCGAGGUGUUGAGCGUUAAUUCCCCGGUGUAUCUCUCCAAGUAUGUCGGGGACUUUCUCUUCCUCGACGCAUUUGAGUAGUGGGAUGGAGAAUCCUCUCCGGUAGAGUUUGCCUUCGAGGAGUACGUACGAGCAUGCGCGUCGUUUGACAGUGGUCGCCUCUUUCGGGUCAGCCGGGAGUUCGUCUCGUGUGAGGUAAUUGUAGAUGGGUGUCAUCCAACAGUGGGCAUCUCCAAUAGCGUUGACCUCGAGUGGAGGCGGUAGUUUGUCGAUGCUGGGCCGAGGGAGAAUUUCUUGGAUUACUGAUUUAUUCCCACCCUUUUUCCUCGUGCUGGCUAGUUUCGAGAGAACGUCUGCCCGUGUGUUGUGCUCGCGGGGUAUGUGUUGAACUUCCCAUUUUUCAAAUCUAUCAAGUUUUUCUUUGACGAGGGACAAGUACCCGAGGAGGUUGUCGUUCUUGGUUUGGUAUUCUCCUCGCACUUGUGAGGCCACGAGCUGGGAGUCGGUGGAUAUUUUUACCUCUUUUGCUCCCAGGUCCUCGGCUAACCUCAGGCCUGCGAGGAAGGCUUCGUAUUCGGCUUGGUUGUUUGAUGUUGGGAACGCUAGCGCUAAUGAUACCUCUAUCAGGAUCCCUUCUUCAUUUUCGAGGAUGAUCCCGGCCCCGCUGCCUGAUGUGCUAGAGGCGCCAUCGACGAAGAUCGUCCAUUUGUGGGCGCUUUCUGCUGGAGUCGGGCAGUGGGUCAUCUCCGCGACGAAGUCGGCCAGUGCCUGAGCUUUCAAGGCUUUCCUACUUUCGUAUUGUAUGUCGAAUUCGGAGAGUUCUAGUGACCACUUGAGCAUCCUCCCGGCCAUAUCCGGGCGCCCGAGCAGCUGUUUGAUUGGCUGGUCGGUCCUCACCUUUAUCGUGUGUGCGAGGAAGUAAUAUCGUAGUCUCCUCGCUGUGUUGAUGAGGGCCAGGGCGACCUUUUCGAUUUGCUGAUAUCGGAGCUCGGGACCUUGGAGUGCUUUACUCGUAAAAUAGAUGGGCUUUUGUCCUUCGUCGGUUUCUCUUAUUAGAACGGCGCUGACGGCCUCGGUUGCCACGGAUAGGUAUAAGUAUAGGGUUUCCUUUUCUGAUGGCCGUGAUAAGACCGGGGGUUGGGACAGAACCUUCUUUAGAUGGAGUAGCGCUUGCUCGCAUUCAUCGGUCCAGUCGAAGGUAGCCUCUUUGCGAAGGAGUCUGAAGAAUGGCAAUGCGUGCUGGGCGGACUUGGCGAUGAAACGGGAGAGUGAGGCGAGCACUCCAUUGAGUGACUGGAUCGAUUUUUUGGUUUUCGGGGUCGGAAACUCCGAGAAUGCCCGGCAUUUGUCGGGGUUGGCCUCGAUCCCUCUUUCGGUGAGAUAGAAACCGAGGAACUUGCCUGCCCGGACUCCGAACGUGCAUUUCUCGGGGUUGAACCUCAUUUUACACUGUCUCGCCUGCUCGAAUACCUUCGUAAGGUGUCGAGCAUGGGUUAUCUCCUCGUGUGAUUUGACGAUCAUGUCGUCCAUGUAUACUUCGAGCAUGUCCCCUAUUUCGUCCUUGAAGACUUUGUUCAUCAUGCGUUGGUAUGUAGCGCCAGCGUUCUUGAGCCCGAACGGCAUCACGUUGUAAUAGUAAUUGCCCGUUGGGGUCAUGAACGCUGUGUGUUUCUUGUCUGCGGGCGACAUAGGGAUCUGGUUGUAUCCACUAUAUGCGUCCAUGAAGGACAAGAGUUUAAAACCUGCAGAGUUGUCAACGAGCGAGUCUAUAUUAGGGAGGGGGAAAGCAUCUUUCGGGCAAGCCCUAUUAAGAUCAGUAUAAUCAACACACAUACGCCAUUUUCCAUUAUUUUUCUUAACGAGGACUACAUUAGAGAGCCAGGUUGUGUACUGGGCUUCAGAAAUAAAAUUUGCCUCUAAGAGGUCUUUUACAGCUCGCUCGGCAGCCUCUGCCUUUUCGGGCGAUUGCUUGCGUCUACGCUGUGCUAUGGGCUUGGCUGCCCGGUCUACAGCUAGCUUAUGACACGCGAUCUCGGGGUCCAGCCCGGGCAUUUCUGCGGCAUUCCACGCGAAGAGGUCGGAGUUCUCUUUGAGGCAUGCUACUAGCUCUUCUCUUGUUUCCUCGGGUAGUCCCUUACCUAUCUUCACCGUCCUUUCCGGAUCGUCCCCAAGAGGAAUGAGUUCGAACUCCCCGUCGGGGAUUGGUCGGACCGGGUGUUCGAGAGAGCGUUCCUUGGGGAACCUCCCCUCUUCGGUCUCGUCCAGCCCGAUGCGACAGUCGAGGUCGAUGGCGUUGACUCCUCGGGCAGGAUCCUCGGUCUUGAGUUUUUUGUUGUUGCAGUUGCUCUUCGUGCUGACUACGGCCUGUCCUUUUACUGCGGCGUCGUAGCAUCGUCGGGCUGCUUCGAUGUCACCAUGGAUGGUGACCACACGUCCCAAUUUGGUGUAGUAUUUCAUCUUCAGGUGGACGGUGGAUGGGACCGCAGUGAGUUCGGCCAGUGUCGGGCGUCCAAAGAUGCAAUUGUAGAGAGACGGACAGUCUACGACCAGGAAUUGGAUUUUGACUUCCCUGGCCGUUUCUUGUUCGCCGAAGGUGACGAGGAGCUCAACAUAUCCCCACGGUCUGGUUGUUGCUCCGUUGAAUCCUUGGAGAUCUGAUCCGACGUAGGGGGCUAAGUUGGUCUUGUCUAGCUUCAGAGUCUUGAAGAGGUGGACGUACAUGAUAUCCACUGAGCUGCCUUCGUCGACCAGGAUGCGUCGUACGUCGAAUCGGGCCAUCUUUGCUCUUAUCAAUAGUGGGAUGGCCGAGUUCGGGGAUCCGCCCGGGAGUUCCUCCAGGAAGAAGGAUAUUGGGUUGGAUUUUCCCCGGUAUUUUGUCAAUGUCGCUUUCUGCUCGGGGGCAGUCAGUAGGAGUUCGUCGAACUUACGUUUGACGGAGAGGGCCGCGGAUUCCCCGUUAGUUCCUCCUCCUGAUAUCACCAGUGUGGUAGGGAAGUCUUCCCAGGGGCUGAGUGCAGUGAUCUUGCCCUCGGGCAAUGGUUCGGGGAGGAAGAAAUCUUCCGGUCGUGACACGCAGAGGGCCACUUGAUAGGGAGAGUUGUCGGGGGGUGUGUUUUCCCGGGGUCUCUUCUUCUCUGGCUCGUCGUGUCUGGGAGCUUCGUUCUUCCUCGUGUACUGCUUCAGGUGCCCUUCUUGGAUUAAAAUUUCAAUCGCAUCUUUCAGGUGGACGCAGUCUUCGGUCACGUGCCCGUGACUUCUGUGGAACCGGCAGUACUUUGAUUUGUCGGUGUGGGGCUUUGGUGCAGACGGUUUUGGGAACCUGACCCUGCCCUGCUUAAAUUCAGAGUUGAUACAUUCUGCGAGGAUACGCUCUCGAGGAGCUGUCAGUAAGGUGUACUCGCUAUAUCUGCCCGCGGGGCCUCUUCCUUCCCGGAGCUCGCGAGGUCUUUCUUCUCUUCGUUUGUCUCCGUUGCGACGGGAAAUGCUCGUGUCCUCGCGUUUUGAGUGCUCGGUCUCCCCAGCGUUACGUCCGCUGCGGGCAUUGUGUGCCACCUGCUUUUCCUCGUAUCUGAUGUAGGCCUGGGCUUUAUGCAGGAGCUCGUUUAAGGUGCGGGGAGGCUCGAUCCCUACGGCUCUGCUAAGUUCACUGCCGGGUAAGAGACCUCUCUCGAGGAGAUACUUCUUCAUGUGCUCGGUGGUAUCUACCUCGACAGCUUCCUGGUUGAAUCGCUCGAUGUAUGAGCGCAGUGUUUCAUUCUUCUUCUGCACUAUGGCUUCAAGGGUCGCCUCAGUCUUGGGGUGACGACGGGAAGCUGUAAAGUGCCUGGUGAACAUGGACCUCAUGACUCUCCAUGACGUAAUGGACUCAGGGGCCAAGCUUUUGUACCAAGCCAUGGCCCCUUUCCUGAGGGUCGUUGAGAACAGUCGGCAUUUGAGGUGCCCGGUUAUAUCAUUGCGGUAGUCGAGCAUCGCGUUGACGUUGUCGACGUGAUCGUCGGGAUCUGUAGUCCCGUCGUACACAGCUAGAUUUGGUGGUUUCUCCAUGCCUUUGGGGAGCGGGGCUUCCAUUAUUGCCCGAGAUAGGGGGCAAUGCAAAUCUUCCUCGUCGCUCCUUAAGGGAGACAGUUCGUUGUUGUCGGGGCUGUGUCCGCGCCUUGGUGAUGUUCCCGCUCGACCACCGUCACGACGGGCGCGUGCCCUGCUGACGUGGGGUUCUGGAGAGCGACGUCCUCGCUUCUUCGUUGGCUCCGAACGUUGUUGUAUCCUACUCACCGGCUGGGGCCGGGCCUCUUGUCGUUCGGCUUCGAGGGCCAUGAUUCGUUCGUGCUGCUGGUGGAGCAUAGAACCGGCCUGAUUGAGGGCAUUCACCAUGGCAAUCAUUACGGCGUCUCCUUCAACGGGAACGGGAAUGGGAUGAAAUGUCUCUGCCCCUAAAUUGUGGGCGUGAGAGGCAUCUCCGUUGUUUUGGGGCUCUGGAGACGGGGUGGAUGGAUGACCGUCCCGAACGUCCGCUUCAUGGGAUGGCGGGCCGUCGUCCAUAUUGUAGUUGACGAGGGGACGGCUGUGAUCGCUAUGUUGUUCUCCGGCCAUGUUGGAAGGACAGAAAUAAAUGAGCUUUUGAUCCUCGUUUGAUGAAGAUGGGGAUAGCUAGUUCCCACAGACGGCGCCACUGAUCUCACCUGAUCAGGAGGGCCUUCCAAGGUCUUGGUGAAUGGGCCGGAGAAUGAAAUGAGAGGGGGGUGUACCUGCAAGGUGCUCCAAUGCUUAAGUCAGAAAAGGUACAGAAUGAGAUUAUCAGAGUGUGAGUUAGAAUACCUGCCCCUUUGCCAUGAAAGGGGUAUUUAUAUUGAGCCCCCAGCGCUGGGCCAAGGCUCCUAAUGGGCUGGAUUAGCUAGGCCCAAGGAGGAGCUGCCAGGGGACGCGUAAGAAGCGUUAAGACCUAGACCAAGGUCUGCCCCCUGGUCCAACUGCCCCUAUCCCUAAGGAGACAAUAUAGGGGAGUUGGGUGACGUGGUGAGUGAGAUGCCGUUAUGGCUCUGCCCGACACAACCUAGGUGCCCGCGGCGUGGGUUGACGAUGAGUGGAUGGAGAUCAUAUGAGGAGGACCCGCUCGUUGUCCGACACGUAUUUAAGGGGCCGGGGAGACAUUCUCCGGGCGGACGGUCGUUCACCUGACGUGUCCUCGUGGUCGCUUGGAUACGGUCGUUUGGACGUGGGCUUGGCGAGCAUUGGGCCGCGCCGUGCUAAGCGUCGUGGCCCAGUCCAGAACAAAUAUUAAAUAAAUAUUUUAUAAAUAAUUAUGUAUUAAUUAUUAUAUAAUAAAAGUGUGAUAAAUAUUAAGAGAACUUGGCUUUCCUUAAAAAUUCAUAAAGUGGGUUAUGCUUACUGUCACUAUUGUUUUCUAUAGGUACCGAAUUAUGAAAUAUAUUUAUAUGUUUAACUAAUAAUAUUUAAUAUGAAAUUUAUUUAUAUAAUAAACUAAUAUUAUUAAAUAUGGAAUAUAUUUAUACAAUACAUUAAUAUUAUUAAAUUUGAAAUAUAUUUAUAUUAUAAAUUAAUAUUAUUGAAUAUGAAAUAUAUUUAUAUAAUAAUAUUAUUAGAUAUUUAAUAAUAUUAAAUAAAUAUUUUAUAAAUGAUUAUGUAUUAAGUAUUAAUAUUGAGAGAGCUCGGCUUCCUUCAGAAGUUCAUAAAGUGGGUUAUGCUUACUGUCAAUAUUGUUUUCUAUAGGUACAUAAUUAAUGGUGAUCCCACAUCCAUCUUGAAAGCUAAAAUGGGCUUGAUACAAAGGGAUCCCCUAUCUUGGUUGCUCUUUAUUAUUGUUAUGGAGUACAUAUACAAGAUCCUCCAAAAGAUGAAGAAGAACCCAAACUUCA
This 15436-nucleotide long non-coding RNA is filed under the name Lathyrus oleraceus (garden pea). RNAcentral describes it as "Pisum sativum (pea) long non-coding RNA (PSAT_LNC029260)". The record is from RNAcentral. Lineage: Eukaryota; Viridiplantae; Streptophyta; Magnoliopsida; Fabales; Fabaceae.